RNAcentral lists this long non-coding RNA (704 nucleotides) under Homo sapiens (human). Its description in RNAcentral is "HSALNT0378124". The record is from RNAcentral. Lineage: Eukaryota; Metazoa; Chordata; Mammalia; Primates; Hominidae.
CUGUCAAAAGCCAAACAAAAGUGCCAUGUGAAUCAAUCUUGCAAACAGUAUCCAUCCAUCACUCACUGGGCACCUGGAAAAAUGACCCAAAAAGAGGCUUCAGGACAUAGCCCAAAACAACAUGAGAAACAAUGAGACACAGGAACCAAAAAGGUAUCUGAAGAAACAUCUGAUGUGCACACAAGCUCCAAAAAAGCCUCUAUAUUUCUACAGAAUUUCUUUUGUCUCCUGGCCAAUUUCUUGUGUUGUCAGAAAGUUAUACAACAUAAGCUUGCAAAUAAAAAUCAAGAGAGAUCGAGUUGCAUGGAUUCACAUACUUCAUACAAAGUGAUUUACUGAAGCACCCUUAGUAAAAUACCAGAAACAACCUAAAUGACCAUCAAUAGCAGAUGGCACAGCGUUAUAAUGGAAUAUUAGGCAGGCCUUGCAAACAAGAGGACAACUUCAAUAAAAAACACCAGGUCAGCGGAUAAGACCAUGUCACUCACAGGUUUGUGACUUGAGGCCUGAGCACCAAUGAUCCACUCCACAUCAGUGGAGAAUGUUGGAAAGUAAGGACGCUGUGGACAUUUUCUGAAGUUGGAGAAAUGGAAUGGUGGAGAAGCCAGUAUUGGGGUACCAUGAGUGGAGCAGAGUUGACUACAAAUCUCAAUAAAGCUUUUCAACUGUAUACCUAACUGCAAAGUCAUUUACUCACAACAAGC